RNAcentral lists this ribosomal RNA (378 nucleotides) under uncultured cyanobacterium. RNAcentral's name for it is "bacterial SSU rRNA". It matches the Rfam family "Bacterial small subunit ribosomal RNA", at positions 376 to 770 of the family's 1533-position model. The record is from RNAcentral. Lineage: Bacteria; Bacillati; Cyanobacteriota.
CGAAAGCCUGACGGAGCAACGCCGCGUGAGGGAUGAAGGCCUCUGGGCUGUAAACCUCUUUUCUCAAGGAAGAAGAUCUGACGGUACUUGAGGAAUAAGCCACGGCUAAUUCCGUGCCAGCAGCCGCGGUAAUACGGGAGUGGCAAGCGUUAUCCGGAAUUAUUGGGCGUAAAGCGUCCGCAGGCGGCUUACAAGUCUGUCGUUAAAGCGUGGAGCUUAACUCCAUUUAAGCGAUGGAAACUGUAAGGCUAGAGUGUGGUAAGGGCAGAGGGAAUUCCCGGUGUAGCGGUGAAAUGCGUAGAUAUCGGGAAGAACACCAGUGGCGAAGGCGCUCUGCUGGGCCAUAACUGACGCUCAUGGACGAAAGCCAGGGGAGCG